UAGACCGCCUGGGGAGUACGGCCGCAAGGUUAAAACUCAAAUGAAUUGACGGGGGCCCGCACAAGCGGUGGAGCAUGUGGUUUAAUUCGAUGCAACGCGAAGAACCUUACCUGGUCUUGACAUCCACAGAACUUUCCAGAGAUGAGAUUGUGCCUUCGGGAACUGUGAGACAGGUGCUGCAUGGCUGUCGUCAGCUCGUGUUGUGAAAUGUUGGGUUAAGUCCCGCAACGAGCGCAACCCUUAUCCUUUGUUGCCAGCGGUUAGGCCGGGAACUCAAAGGAGACUGCCAGUGAUAAACUGGAGGAAGGUGGGGAUGACGUCAAGUCAUCAUGGCCCUUACGACCAGGGCUACACACGUGCUACAAUGGCGCAUACAAAGAGAAGCGACCUCGCGAGAGCAAGCGGACCUCAUAAAGUGCGUCGUAGUCCGGAUUGGAGUCUGCAACUCGACUCCAUGAAGUCGGAAUCGCUAGUAAUCGUGGAUCAGAAUGCCACGGUGAAUACGUUCCCGGGCCUUGUACACACCGCCCGUCACACCAUGGGAGUGGGUUGCAAAAGAAGUAGGUAGCUUAACCUUCGGGAGGGCGCUUACCACUUUGUGAUUCAUGACUGGGGUGAAGUCGUAACAAGGUAACCGUAGGGGAACCUGCGGUUGGAUCACCUCCUUACCUUAAAGAA
Molecule: ribosomal RNA, 678 nt
Filed under: Salmonella enterica subsp. enterica serovar Anatum
Lineage: Bacteria; Pseudomonadati; Pseudomonadota; Gammaproteobacteria; Enterobacterales; Enterobacteriaceae
Description: bacterial SSU rRNA
Rfam family: Bacterial small subunit ribosomal RNA
Source: RNAcentral